This 484-nucleotide ribosomal RNA is filed under the name uncultured bacterium. RNAcentral's name for it is "partial 16S ribosomal RNA". It matches the Rfam family "Bacterial small subunit ribosomal RNA", at positions 30 to 507 of the family's 1533-position model. The record is from RNAcentral.
AUUGAACGCUGGCGGCAUGCUUUACACAUGCAAGUCGAACGGCAGCGCGGGCUUCGGCCUGGCGGCGAGUGGCGAACGGGUGAGUAAUACAUCGGAACGUGCCCAGUAGUGGGGGAUAGCUCGGCGAAAGCCGGAUUAAUACCGCAUACGACCUGAUGGUGAAAGCGGGGGAUCUUCGGACCUCGCGCUUUUUGAUCUGCCGAUGGCGGAUUAGCUAGUUGGUUGGGUAAAGGCCUACCAAGGCGACGAUCUGUAGCUGGUCUGAGAGGACGACCAGCCACACUGGGACUGAGACACGGCCCAGACUCCUACGGGAGGCAGCAGUGGGGAAUUUUGGACAAUGGGCGAAAGCAUGAUCCAGCAAUGCCGCGUGUGUGAUGAAGGCCUUCGGGUUGUAAAGCACUUUUGGCGGGAACGAAAAGGACUGUGCCAAUACCACGGUUCGAUGACGGUAACCGCAGAAUAAGCACCGGCUAACUACGUG